GGGCGCAAGCCUGAUGCAGCGACGCCGCGUGAGGGAUGACGGCCUUCGGGUUGUAAACCUCUUUCAGUAGGGAAGAAGCGAAAGUGACGGUACCUGCAGAAGAAGCGCCGGCUAACUACGUGCCAGCAGCCGCGGUAAUACGUAGGGCGCAAGCGUUAUCCGGAAUUAUUGGGCGUAAAGAGCUCGUAGGCGGUUUGUCGCGUCUGCUGUGAAAGACCGGGGCUCAACUCCGGUUCUGCAGUGGGUACGGGCAGACUAGAGUGCAGUAGGGGAGACUGGAAUUCCUGGUGUAGCGGUGAAAUGCGCAGAUAUCAGGAGGAACACCGAUGGCGAAGGCAGGUCUCUGGGCUGUAACUGACGCUGAGGAGCGAAAGCAUGGGGAGCGAACAGGAUUAGAUACCCUGGUAGUCCAUGCCGUAAACGUUGGGCACUAGGUGUGGGGGACAUUCCACGUUUUCCGCGCCGUAGCUAACGCAUUAAGUGCCCCGCCUGGG
RNAcentral lists this ribosomal RNA (494 nucleotides) under Paenarthrobacter aurescens. RNAcentral describes it as "bacterial SSU rRNA". It matches the Rfam family "Bacterial small subunit ribosomal RNA", at positions 373 to 877 of the family's 1533-position model. Lineage: Bacteria; Bacillati; Actinomycetota; Actinomycetes; Micrococcales; Micrococcaceae. The record is from RNAcentral.